RNAcentral lists this ribosomal RNA (253 nucleotides) under uncultured bacterium. RNAcentral's name for it is "partial 16S ribosomal RNA". It matches the Rfam family "Bacterial small subunit ribosomal RNA", at positions 524 to 776 of the family's 1533-position model. The record is from RNAcentral.
UACGGGGGGGGCAAGCGUUGUUCGGAAUUACUGGGCGUAAAGCGCGUGUAGGCGGCUUCGCAAGUCGGAUGUGAAAUCCCACGGCUCAACCGUGGAAGUGCAUUCGAAACUGCAAGGCUAGAGUCCUGGAGAGGAAGGUGGAAUGCUUGGUGUAGAGGUGAAAUUCGUAGAUAUCAAGCGGAACACCGGUGGCGAAGGCGGCCUUCUGGACAGUGACUGACGCUGAGACGCGAAAGCGUGGGGAGCAAACAGG